AGAGUUUGAUCCUGGCUCAGAAUCAACGCUGGCGGCGUGCCUCAGACAUGCAAGUCGAACGCGAAAGUCCCCUUCGGGGGGCGAGUAGAGUGGCGCACGGGUGAGUAACACGUAGGUAAUCUACCUUUGGAUUGGGAAUAACAACCGGAAACGGUUGCUAAUACCGAAUAAUGCAGCGGCACCUAAUGGUGACAGUUGUUAAAGCGGGGGAUCGCAAGACCUCGCGUCUGAAGAGGAGCCUGCGGCAGAUUAGCUAGUUGGUAAGGUAACGGCUUACCAAGGCGAUGAUCUGUAGCCGGCCUGAGAGGGCGGUCGGCCACACUGACACUGACAUACGGGUCAGACUCCUACGGGAGGCAGCAGUCGGGAAUUUUGGGCAAUGGGCGAAAGCCUGACCCAGCAACGCCGCGUGAAGGAUGAAAUCCUUCGGGAUGUAAACUUCGCAAGAACGGGAAGAAUAAGUAAGAGUUAAUAUCUCUUACGAUGACGGUACUGUUUGUAAGCUCCGGCUAACUCCGUGCCAGCAGCCGCGGUAAUACGGGGGGAGCAAGCGUUGUUCGGAUUUACUGGGCGUAAAGGGCGCGUAGGCGGCCACCGCAAGUCGACUGUGAAAUCUCCGGGCUUAACCCGGAAAGGUCAGCCGAUACUGCGGGGCUAGAGUGCAGAAGGGGCAACUGGAAUUCUCGGUGUAGCGGUGAAAUGCGUAGAUAUCGAGAGGAACACCUGCGGCGAAGGCGGGUUGCUGGGCUGACACUGACGCUGAUGCGCGAAAGCCAGGGGAGCGAACGGGAUUAGAUACCCCGGUAGUCCUGGCCUUAAACGAUGGAUGCUUGGUGUCUGGAGUUUUAUAGUCUCCGGGUGCCGUAGCUAACGCGUUAAGCAUCCCGCCUGGGGAGUACGGUCGCAAGACUGAAACUCAAAUGAAUUGACGG
This 932-nucleotide ribosomal RNA is filed under the name uncultured bacterium. RNAcentral's name for it is "bacterial SSU rRNA". It matches the Rfam family "Bacterial small subunit ribosomal RNA", at positions 8 to 916 of the family's 1533-position model. The record is from RNAcentral.